RNAcentral lists this transfer RNA (74 nucleotides) under Tidjanibacter sp. Its description in RNAcentral is "tRNA-Asn". It matches the Rfam family "tRNA". Rfam says of the family: Transfer RNA (tRNA) molecules are approximately 80 nucleotides in length. Lineage: Bacteria; Pseudomonadati; Bacteroidota; Bacteroidia; Bacteroidales; Rikenellaceae. RNAcentral also lists the same sequence under 5 other names. The record is from RNAcentral.
UCCUCAAUAGCUCAGUUGGUUAGAGCACCUGACUGUUAAUCAGGGGGUCGCAGGUUCAAGUCCUGCUUGAGGAG